CCAUAGGGUCCGUUGUGAUACCGAAAAAGGGUUGAUCCAUCCCCGGCGACUACUCCAUGAACUAUUUUGAGCUGUUUAAGAACAGCAGGAGUGGUUUGACGUCGACGGGCUUUAGGUCGGAGAGGUCGUCAAAGAGAGGCUGGCUCGAGUUAGCUGGGCAGUGACAGAGAAGAUGAGACAUUGUCUCCUCCUC
Long non-coding RNA from Chrysoperla carnea, 193 nucleotides. RefSeq lists it as uncharacterized. The record is from RefSeq and is a predicted model, not a curated record. NCBI's taxonomy places the organism in Eukaryota, Metazoa, Arthropoda, Insecta, Neuroptera, Chrysopidae. The transcript is spliced from 3 exons.